RNAcentral lists this ribosomal RNA (909 nucleotides) under Salinivibrio sp. AR640. RNAcentral describes it as "bacterial SSU rRNA". It matches the Rfam family "Bacterial small subunit ribosomal RNA", at positions 543 to 1457 of the family's 1533-position model. The record is from RNAcentral. Lineage: Bacteria; Pseudomonadati; Pseudomonadota; Gammaproteobacteria; Vibrionales; Vibrionaceae.
UAUCGGAUACUGGGCGUAAGCGCAUGCAGGCGGUUUGUUAAGUCAGAUGUGAAAGCCCGGGGCUCAACCUCGGAACCGCAUUUGAAACUGGCAGGCUAGAGUCUUGUAGAGGGGGGUAGAAUUUCAGGUGUAGCGGUGAAAUGCGUAGAGAUCUGAAGGAAUACCAGUGGCGAAGGCGGCCCCCUGGACAAAGACUGACGCUCAGAUGCGAAAGCGUGGGUAGCAAACAGGAUUAGAUACCCUGGUAGUCCACGCCGUAAACGCUGUCUACUUGGAGGUUGAGGUUUUAGACUUUGGCUUUCGGCGCUAACGCAUUAAGUAGACCGCCUGGGGAGUACGGCCGCAAGGUUAAAACUCAAAUGAAUUGACGGGGGCCCGCACAAGCGGUGGAGCAUGUGGUUUAAUUCGAUGCAACGCGAAGAACCUUACCUACUCUUGACAUCCAGCGAAGCCUUUAGAGAUAGAGGCGUGCCUUCGGGAGCGCUGAGACAGGUGCUGCAUGGCUGUCGUCAGCUCGUGUUGUGAAAUGUUGGGUUAAGUCCCGCAACGAGCGCAACCCUUAUCCUUGUUUGCCAGCACGUAAUGGUGGGAACUCCAGGGAGACUGCCGGUGAUAAACCGGAGGAAGGUGGGGACGACGUCAAGUCAUCAUGGCCCUUACGAGUAGGGCUACACACGUGCUACAAUGGCAGAUACAGAGGGCAGCGAGACAGCGAUGUUUAGCGAAUCCCUUAAAGUUUGUCGUAGUCCGGAUUGGAGUCUGCAACUCGACUCCAUGAAGUCGGAAUCGCUAGUAAUCGUGGAUCAGAAUGCCACGGUGAAUACGUUCCCGGGCCUUGUACACACCGCCCGUCACACCAUGGGAGUGGGCUGCACCAGAAGUAGAUAGCUAACCUUCGGGAGGGCGUAC